AAUUCUGAACUCUUGUCUCAUACUCAUAUGUAUAGAUAGGCAUAGAGAGAAGGAUUCAUACAUACACAAGAAGCUUUGACUUCUGACAUUUGAGUCACACACUCCAAAAAUACCAUCACAUUCACCGUUUCCGGUCCUUCUGCUGUUGUCGAUGACCAAACUACUAGCUAAGUGAGGAUGUUGCCCUGUGGCGUGAGCAGCUUUCUGUGACUCACCCUUUGUGCAGCAGCUCCAGUUUGAGGCCUUUAGACAUCACCACCCUCCUGAAGCCGCGGUGGUUCCGGUUGAUUGACAGGGUGAAACUCUGGUUAUAUUCUGGUGAAAAGAGAGCACAGAUGGAGAAGCUGCCUUCUGAGACCUUACACAUACAGUAUUUCACACAAAUAAACCAUAAAAACGGUUCAUCCAUAUUAACCUUCAUUUAUUUGCACAGCUGCAACAUUUCCACAUUUAGUCAAUACUUCCACCUUCUUUGUUUUGAAACAGUGAGCAGCUCUUUUCAUUCUAAAAAACUGUUUUUAUUUUACUUUUUUUUGUAAAUUUUUAUAUCAUAUUUAGCAUUCUUGACUUUUGCAAAAUUUGUUUUUCUUCUUUUCUCUUACAAUGUUUUUGUUAUUGUGACUGUUGUGAACCAAAUCUAAUUCUCCAUAUACUGUAUUCUUAAGACAGAAAACAUCUUCACAUUGAUUUAUUUUUAUCUUGACUAUUUUGUAAUAAAAUCACUCCUAAACGUAAAUGUGUCUUAGAAAAUAAUCCCAAAAAUAACAAGAUAUAAAAUGGAAAAAAAAACAUUUACAAUAAUUGGUGUAGCUGCAGCCGGCAGUAGCAAAAUAUGGCUGCAACUUAAUCCUUGCGGGCAGGUGCGCCCUGUCAAAGUACGUAGAGCAAAGUAGUGCUUAGUAGUAGUUUUUGCCACUGACAGGCUCAGAUUGUUAUUAUAAGUGUCUGACAACAUUGUGGAAAAGAUCCCUUCAGAGGUAGACCUUUUUGUUUAACCAGAAACAGUCACUUUAUCGCUCUCGAUAUUAAAGCUACCAGACUCCAUGGAUACAAACAGUACUUUUAUCUCGCAGAACACAGGUUGCUCUACUGCUGCCCCGGUCAGUUUGUUUGUUUGUGUUAUUUAUUGUGUGACUUUAGAGCUUUAAAAGGGUUAAAACACCAAAGUCACAAAAUAACACAAAGUAUCAGUUUGAGGAAGCAGUAGACCAGAGAGUCUGGGAGCUUUGAUCUCGAGAGAGAUAUAGCAACUGUUUCUGGUUAAACAAAAAUGAUCUUAGGUCUACCUCUGUAGGGAUCUUUCCACAACAUUGUCAGACACUAGUAAUAACAAUCUGAGCCUGUCAAUAGCAAAAAAAAUAAACGCUUUAGCGGAUGAAUUUUAACGUUAGAGCAAUUGCCUUCAAGGAUUACGCUGCAGCUGUUUCUACUGACUGCUACGCGCUCACUCAAGACUGGACCAAUUUCAAAGAAUCUUGUCCUAAUUACAUACAUAGACCCAAAAACAUGUGAAAAUUAGGUUGAAAAAGGUCCAGGUUAAAGAUAUCAAAGUUACUCUUCAGUGGAUUGACAUCACUUAUGAAGAGUUUUGUGUCUUGAUUGUUUAGACAAAUGAAAAUAAAAUAUCCACAAAUGCCAAUAAAAUGAUGCAAACACAUGACAAUGUACAUGUCUCACCUGGGGAGUUAGUGUUCUUGAUGACCACUGUUUUGUGUUUCUGCGGCUGCUCCUGGUGGCAACAAAACAGACACACUUUUAAAGGAGUAAAGUCACCUGUAUGAAUCGUCUCAGCAGCCUGCGGUGGCUGUGAAGAGCUGGUAGAGUGAAUCUCUUACCGUGCUGGGGUAGGGGAAGUCAAACUUGACGAAGGCAUCUAGGUCAUUUGUUUGGAUUCCUGCGAGAAAGUUUAUCACAAAGCAUCAACCAGUGUGUGCUUUUUCUUUUCAAACCAGACCUUAAAUAUUUGACUGAAUUCAUUAUGGCCUUAAUGACCUGAAGCUAGGUCUGUUUAAGACAUAAGAUUUAAGGUUUAAUUUUUCCCCUGAACCACAACAAACUUGAAUUUAGUAUAAAACGUGACUUUUCAGUGUUUUCAGAACCAUUGUUCUAGUACUAACAGACCUACUGUACUGUAUAAAAGGACUGAUGGGUGAAGAUUUUUGUUUUUACCACUAGGAGCUGGAAGAUUCAUCCCUUUGACAAUAGUAACAACCAUGUCAGUGCUGCUCAGCUCUGGAAAUAUCCUGAAAGUGAUGUUUAGGGGGAGGAAGACCUCUGGACUGAGCCAGCUUCAGGACCUCCAGACUUUUCUUACAACUCUCCGCCAUCUUCUCAAACCUGGAGCACACACAAAAAUCAGGAUUUGACUAAUCAGGUUUACAGUAUAAUGAAAUACACAAAUAGAAAGAAAAUACAUGAACUUGUUGUUUUCUGAUAACAACUCUUUGGGCUCUGGUAUCACAUUUCUGUCCCUUUAUGACAUUUUUUGAGUGUUUAGAGUUUGUACGUUACUGUUAACAAAAUAAAAAACUGUUUACUGCUUA
This is a long non-coding RNA of Micropterus dolomieu (smallmouth bass), 2543 nucleotides long. RefSeq lists it as uncharacterized. Lineage: Eukaryota; Metazoa; Chordata; Actinopteri; Centrarchiformes; Centrarchidae. The record is from RefSeq and is a predicted model, not a curated record. The transcript is spliced from 2 exons.